GCCUCCGUGGUACAGUGGUCGUAGCAGGCGUCGCUGGUAUGAAUGAAACCCGGGUUCGACUCCCGACUGAGGCG
Parelaphostrongylus tenuis is the source of this 74-nucleotide non-coding RNA. Lineage: Eukaryota; Metazoa; Nematoda; Chromadorea; Rhabditida; Metastrongylidae. The record is from the annotation of a GenBank genome assembly.